RNAcentral lists this unclassified non-coding RNA (341 nucleotides) under soil metagenome. RNAcentral describes it as "partial contains 5.8S ribosomal RNA, internal transcribed spacer 2, and large subunit ribosomal RNA". The stretch from base 1 to 120 matches the Rfam family "5.8S ribosomal RNA", at positions 35 to 154 of the family's 154-position model. The record is from RNAcentral.
GAUGAAGAACGUAGCGAAAUGAGAUAAGUAGUGUGAAUUGCAGAAUUCAGUGAAUCAUCGAAUCUUUGAACGCACAUUGCGCCCUUUGGUAUUCCAAAGGGCAUGCCUGUUCGAGCGUCAUUUGUACCCUCAAGCUUUGCUUGGUGUUGGGCGUCUUGUCUCUAGCUUUGCUGGAGACUCGCCUUAAAGUAAUUGGCAGCCGGCCUACUGGUUUCGGAGCGCAGCACAAGUCGCACUCUCUAUCAGCAAAGGUCUAGCAUCCAUUAAGCCUUUUUUUCAACUUUUGACCUCGGAUCAGGCAGGGAUACCCGCUGAACUUAAGCAUAUCAAUAAGCGGAGGA